Heterocephalus glaber (naked mole-rat) is the source of this 1024-nucleotide non-coding RNA. The record is from RefSeq and is a predicted model, not a curated record. Lineage: Eukaryota; Metazoa; Chordata; Mammalia; Rodentia; Bathyergidae.
CCACUUUACCCACCAUUCCCCCAUCCCCUCUCCCUGCUCCUAUUCCUGAAGCCCUCUGGUGCUUGUGUCCUGAGAUCCUGAGGGUGUCCCCAUGUGCUCUCCUGUCCUGAAGCAGACGUGGACAGUGGAAGCUACUUCUUCUAAGUGGGCUGAUCUCAUGGCCAUGGUAACAGGCACGUGCCUAGGUCCAGACAGAAAGACCUGGCAGCAACCUCAGGUUCAUCUUCAGCCCUCUUUUCAAGUUUGAUCUCACCCACCCGUGGCCACUGCACACUGUGUCCUGAAGGUCAGUUGCUGCCCAAAGUGCCAGGAGAUUUCAUGUCUACUGAAGGGCUCACUCUCUGCUCCAAAAAAUUGAUUCUACCAUGAGGAAAAGAAGGAACACUGGAAAUCACAUGGCAGGAGAAUGGAAGCUUUUCCAAAAAUUGUGAUGAAGCAGGCAGGGACAAGAAAAGGGGCCUUAUUAAAUGCCACUGGACCUUCCUCAAAGAGUUCCAUAGCCGGUCAAGGCCCAGCCACUGGAGAGGAACUCGGAAGUCACCGAGAAGCUGCAACUUGAGCGGCACCCCGCAAAGGUUGCUCCUAACAUUAUUCCCAGGGAUGGAAUAUACAUCCUUCAAACUACAAGGAACUCAAUUAUGCCCUGUACUUUUUGCUUUUCCAAGUGUGAGAUCAAGGUAAAAACGUGCAAGAUGAGUCACUGAAUACCCGUCUCCUUUAGUUUUAUUUUUCUUUGCACAUUAAAAUCAUAUUUCCUUGUUUUGGGGUAAGAUGGAAAAGGGAAAAUGUUGGUCAAAAUGUUCAAAUUUUCAGUUGUAAAUUCUUGUGAUCAAAUCCACAGCAAGAUGAUUAUGGUUAAUAAAACUAUUAUUCUUAGGUAUGAGGUCAUAAAUAUUCUUAACACACAUGGUGACUGUGAAAUUGUGGAUGUAGAGUCAAUUGAAAUUUGACUGUGAUAAUUUCAGAAUAUGUGUGUUUAUCAAAGCAUCAUAUUGUAUACACACUUAUCAAAGAUGUGCUUAGA